UCUGUUUUAUUCUUCUUCACCACAUUAGUUUGUUGUAUGCUUUGCACUUGUUCAAUGAAGUUUCUUGAAAACAGGAAGCAGAACGUCUCCAGGAAAACUCAAACAGUCGGACCAGUCGGGGCAGCACACGUGAGAAAUGGUGACGAAGUAUUUAUUGUUCUCCUGCAGACUGAACCUUUGACCCAGUUCACUUUAUUCACCAUCAGCGGGGAUUUUCACCGGAAGCACCUGAUGAGGUCAGCAGGAGAACCAGCUGGACCUCAGAGGGAAACGUCCCCCAGGCUGAAAGGAACCAGCGCUGACUCAGCAGAAGCUGCUCUGGCCUGGUCAGUUUUCUGGAAGCUGAUAUCGAUCCUCUGACUUACGGUCGGGCCGCUUCCGUCCAGCGGCACAGACGGAUUUUUACCGGAACCCGCCGAAUCACUCAGACCGAAACUGCGAGUGAAAUCCCACCCGGCUUCCGUAAGCUGCGAGCGCGUUUCGCGAGAGGAACCCGAGGAGAGGAGGGAGGAGGAAGAGGGGAUUUCCCGGAUUCCCGGGAUGAAGGAGAAAAACAACAACAACAGGAGGAGCUGCAGCUUCCCGGAAAGGAUGACGUCACCGAGCAGCAGGAAUAAUAAAAUCUCUUUCAGGUCACCUGAAAAUCAUAAAUAAGAGCUUUUAUGAAGAAUAAAUAUAAAAACAACAUUAAAAUACAUAAAUAAUAAAUAAAAUAUCGAAUUUUUACACGUUGUAAGCUUUAUUAUUAUCACAAUAAUGGGGUUGUAUUAAAUUAUACUAAAAAUAAAUAAUAUUUACAAACUCUAAAA
Long non-coding RNA from Poecilia latipinna (sailfin molly), 809 nucleotides. RefSeq lists it as uncharacterized. The transcript is spliced from 3 exons. Lineage: Eukaryota; Metazoa; Chordata; Actinopteri; Cyprinodontiformes; Poeciliidae. The record is from RefSeq and is a predicted model, not a curated record.